UUUGACCUCGAAUCAGGUAGGAUUA
This 25-nucleotide ribosomal RNA is filed under the name Cylindrocladiella microcylindrica. Its description in RNAcentral is "partial 28S ribosomal RNA". The record is from RNAcentral. RNAcentral also lists the same sequence under 2 other names. Lineage: Eukaryota; Fungi; Ascomycota; Sordariomycetes; Hypocreales; Nectriaceae.